AUGGCGUCUCGUGGAUAUCUACACCCAGCGAGAGAUCACCCUUCCAUCGUUGGGUACCGCCGCCAUCGAGCGUCGCUGCCCACCGGACACUCCUGCCUACUACGCACGAGACGCUCACUCGACCUCUAUUUCCUGAAUCUUGUAAUCUGUGAAGUGCCCACACCAUCACAAGACUACAUGGAUUACAAGCUCAUUGCCGUGUUCAACAUGGGAUUAAAUGAUUGGCCGGUGCUGCCGGUUGGCAUCAAGUUCGAUCCCACGGAUCAGGAGCUGAUCGAGCACCUUGAGACCAAAGUGAGUGCUGACAGCGCGAGAUCUCACCCUCUCAUCGAUUUGUUCGUACCAACCAUCGACAUCGAGCACGACAUAUGCUACACCCAUCCUGAGAAACUUCCACCUAUCGCAUUGAGUGGCCUAAGAAAGCAUUUCUUCCAGCGCAAUUCCAGGGCAUUCAAAAGGGGCACGUGCACGUGUCGCAAGAUACAGUCGGAGUGCGGCAUGCACGCGAUGUGGCACAAGACCGCCAAUACCUUGCCGGUGAUGGUCAAUGGCCGGCAGACGGGCAGCAAAAAGGUUCUGGUGCUGCACACCAACAAGAACUUCGACCAUUACCGCAAAAAAAAAAAGAACUUCGACCAACAGAGGACCAACUGGGUGAUGCACCAGUACCACCUCCGGGACCUGCAGCAAGAUAAGGAGCGGGAGCUGGUCUUCUACAAGAUUUUCUACCAGACGAACACUAGGGCCAUGACUAAAAAGAUUAUAAGCUAG
Molecule: ribosomal RNA, 771 nt
Filed under: Triticum aestivum (bread wheat)
Lineage: Eukaryota; Viridiplantae; Streptophyta; Magnoliopsida; Poales; Poaceae
Description: partial small subunit ribosomal RNA
Source: RNAcentral